Molecule: long non-coding RNA, 1353 nt
Filed under: Chloebia gouldiae (Gouldian finch)
Lineage: Eukaryota; Metazoa; Chordata; Aves; Passeriformes; Passeridae
Description: Erythrura gouldiae (Gouldian finch) lncRNA (ENSEGOG00005016937.1)
Source: RNAcentral
AUGAAUGUCUCUCAUGGCCAUCUGUUGGCCUUGUGCUACAGGCUGACUCUGUCUCUGGAAGAAAAGGAUCUGAGCCUCAGAACCCUGGAAGAAAACAACCUGGCCCAGAUCAGUCAGGUGUCUCAGCUUCAUUCUGCCCUUACCCAGGCCGAGGAGCUCCACUCAGAGCAUAGAAGAGAAAUGCAGGAGCGCAACACCCAGAUCUGGGCCCUGCAGGACGCAGUGCUGCAGAUGGAAGCUUCCAAGGCAACUCGAGAGAAGCAGCUGCUGGAGGAACUGGAGGAGUCUCGAGCAGGAGAAUGUGCUUUGAGGGACUCUGUGGAUGUGCUGGAGGCUGAGGUGUCCGAGUUGCGUGUGAGGCUCCAGAGCUCUGAGAACAGAGCAGAGGCCUUGGCCAUACAGUGUCAACAGGCCAGUGGUGCCCACCAGGAAACUCAAUCCCAGCUGGACAAACUGCUGUUGGUUCUCCACCAUAUGAUUAGGGACAGCAGAAACUUGGUCACUUGGAGCUCAGAAGAGGGUCAUGUCAUGGGUCUAACUCCUUCUCAGGAUGGAGAUGUCCCUGCAGAGCUCACAGUGGACAGAGUGGCAGCAGCUCUGCAAGACCUGCGGCAGCACCUGGAACAUUCCCAGAAAGAUCUGGUAAUGUGUGCCCAGUGCACCCAGAAAUCCUAUAUUGUUGUUGGGCUGCUGGACAAGCACUGUGCCAAGGCCAGAAUGGGUGUCAGUCCUUGUAGGGAGCUUGGCUUACUGAGAUGCGGAGGAGGGAGGAUCACAAUCAUAAUCUGCCACUACAGUCCAGCUGUCCUCUCCCACAUAGCUAUUUCUGCUUUAGUGUUUGUAACCCUUUGUCUCCUGCCAGCAGUGGCAAUGACUUGUGAUUCUGCUCCUCUUAUCUCUUCCAGAAUGAUGCAAGGAACAAGAUACAGGCCUUGGAACUGGAGCUGGGCAUGGGGCAGGAUCAGAUGGACAGUCUCAGAGCCAGCAAUCAGGAGCUGCAGAUACAGUUGGAUGAAAGUCGGACAGGUACAGCUUCUCCGACCCACUGUCCCAUCCCGUCUCUCCAGUGGGGUUCUUUGAUGCCACAUAGAAAAAAAAAGACAGAGGGGAAAAACAACCAGCAGGAGAUUUAUCCAUCCAAGUGCCAGUGAAAGCUUUUUCUUGAGAAAGAUCUGUGGCUUGCAGAGCCAUCUGGCUGUGCUAGGGCUGAUCCUGGGCUGGAGCCUUUCAGGUGCCAUGUCUCUAUUAAGGAGCUGUAGCUGGAUGCCUCAGCUCGAUUCCCCCAAACUCCAGGUCCUGCCAGAGCCUCCAGGGCCAUUGGCCUCGCUGAGCAGGGCUGCACAGGCAUCCCCU